CUUUCUGGUUGUUUGAUAUUAAUAUCUUG
RNAcentral lists this non-coding RNA (29 nucleotides) under Mus musculus (house mouse). Lineage: Eukaryota; Metazoa; Chordata; Mammalia; Rodentia; Muridae. The record is from RNAcentral.